AAAAAUAUGUUUGAUUCUAUACAACAGGAUGCCUUGAUGCUGGAUGAAAUGCAGUAGAGACUCAAAGACCCAAAUGGUGUUAUGAUGAAUGACAGCGUUUUCGUAUCAUAGCGUAAUGUUCUUAAUAAAAAUAGAGAGAUUUUGCGAGACUGGUGUCAGAAAUAGAUGAAACAAAAAGCAAAAGUAAAGAAAAGAAAAAAUCAAUUGAAAAUGGAAAGACUAAUUGAGGUUUAUUUAUCCGAAUAUAUCAUCAAUUUCGUCUCGUCCCUUUCUUGCACGUUUCUUUUUUUUCUUGACUGUGGAAUUUGAGUUUUUGGAUUUACGUUUGGUACCUUGAGAAACAGUUAUAGGAGAAGAAGACAAGAAGAGAGAUUCAUCUUGAUUCUUGAGAAAAGAAUUAGGAGAGGAUACAGUCAGUUUCUCAUAACUAGUAGAAGCAGGAUUUAUAGACAAUGAAAUAGGUUCCGUAGCUAGCAAUUCAUCGCGAGCUACAACAGUCCCAGUGUCUAUGUCAUCUUGAGACUGUAAUUCCAAUUUUUUUUGCUCCUUUUGACUAAAGACUAUUUCCGAUUGUAUUUUUGCUUCGUACUCUAUUCCGCCCAUAACAAACCAAACGCGAGCUAAGAUACCCAGCAAAACUAACCCUAAGGCUGGAUACUGACCAUGGGCAAUUAAGUUUGUAAAAUAAAAGUACGAUUUCGGCAAUUGUUCUAAAAUAGCAAUUUUCGCUUUUUCAUUUCCAUCUAGCGACUGCUUUAGUCUUCGAAGCAGCAUUCGUACGUGUCUCCACCAAACACUUAGUCGAUGCUGAUUUCUAUUCCUAUACACGAUUUUUUGCAAUAAAACUACAUCGUAUUGCAAUUCCUGCAUAUCGUUGGACUAGACAAAUAGGUCGUACAAACCACCCAACGAGUGAGCAAUGUGAACACGAACACGAACGAAGAAAGUAUGUAUGUAUGAACAGUAUCCAUUAAAUACAUUGAUGGAUGAAAA
This is a non-coding RNA of Schizosaccharomyces pombe (fission yeast), 993 nucleotides long. Lineage: Eukaryota; Fungi; Ascomycota; Schizosaccharomycetes; Schizosaccharomycetales; Schizosaccharomycetaceae. The record is from the annotation of a GenBank genome assembly.